UACGUAGGCAGCAAGCGUUGUUCGGAGUUACUGGGCGUAAAGAGUGCGUAGGCGGUCCUUUAAGUUUGGUGUGAAAUCUCCCGGCUCAACUGGGAGGGUGCGCCGAAAACUGGAGGGCUUGAGUGUGGGAGAGGCAAGCGGAAUUCCUGGUGUAGCGGUGAAAUGCGCAGAUAUCAGGAGGAACACCAAUGGCGAAGGCAGCUCGCUGGGACGGUACUGACGCUGAGACGCGAAAGCGUGGGGAGCAAACAGG
Molecule: ribosomal RNA, 253 nt
Filed under: uncultured bacterium
Lineage: Bacteria
Description: partial 16S ribosomal RNA
Rfam family: Bacterial small subunit ribosomal RNA
Source: RNAcentral